CGGCAUGCCUUACACAUGCAAGUCGAACGGCAGCACGGGAGCAAUCCUGGUGGCGAGUGGCGAACGGUGAGUAUGUAUCGGAACGUACCUUCAGUGGGGAUAACGUAGCGAAAGUUACGCUAAUACCGCAUAUUCUGUGAGCAGGAAAGCAGGGGGAUCGCAAGACCUUGCGCUGAUUGAGCGGCCGAUAUCAGAUUAGCUAGUUGGUGAGGUAAAGGCUCACCAAGGCGACGAUCUGUAGCGGGUCUGAGAGGAUGAUCCGCCACACUGGAACUGAGACACGGUCCAGACUCCUACGGGAGGCAGCAGUGGGGAAUUUUGGACAAUGGGCGCAAGCCUGAUCCAGCCAUGCCGCGUGAGUGAAGAAGGCCUUCGGGUUGUAAAGCUCUUUCAGCCGGGAAGAAAACGCAUGGGUUAAUACCCUGUGUGGAUGACGGUACCGGAAUAAGAAGCACCGGCUAACUACGUG
Molecule: ribosomal RNA, 469 nt
Filed under: uncultured bacterium
Lineage: Bacteria
Description: bacterial SSU rRNA
Rfam family: Bacterial small subunit ribosomal RNA
Source: RNAcentral